GAGAUUUACUCCUAGUUUAUGAGUAUAUACCAAAUGGGACAGUGGCAGAUCAUCUACAUGGUAAACGGGCCAAAUCUGGCUUACUCUCUUGGCCUGUCCGAAUGAACAUAGCCAUUGAGACUGCUGAAGCCCUGGCUUAUCUCCACUCCUCAAUUAUAAUACACCGUGACGUCAAAACCAACAACAUUCUGUUAGACAACGAUUUCCAUGUGAAAGUUGCUGAUUUUGGGCUAUCAAGACUGUUCCCAAAUAAUGUCACACAUGUCUCUACUGCUCCACAGGGUACACCAGGCUACGUUGAUCCUGAAUACUACCAAUGUUACCA
This 325-nucleotide unclassified non-coding RNA is filed under the name Hevea brasiliensis (rubber tree). The record is from RNAcentral. Lineage: Eukaryota; Viridiplantae; Streptophyta; Magnoliopsida; Malpighiales; Euphorbiaceae.